Non-coding RNA from Varroa destructor (honeybee mite), 1523 nucleotides. The record is from RefSeq and is a predicted model, not a curated record. NCBI's taxonomy places the organism in Eukaryota, Metazoa, Arthropoda, Arachnida, Mesostigmata, Varroidae.
UACGAUGCUAUGAAAAGUAUCUCGACAAAAUAACGAAAUCGAUAUUCCUACUCUUCGCGCACCGCUGUUUCUUUCUUGGCUGAUCUGUCCUGAGCCGACUUGUAUCCACUGUUCACACGGAAAAAGCGUAAUAAUUCCUUGCUUGAGUAUACAAGGGUUUUGUUUACUCCUGAUUUUUCCAGAAGCUCUUCAAGCCAGCCGGAUCAUUAAUUUCUAUUUAACCACUACACAUCAAGCAUAAUGAAACAAGAAGCACAGAUUAAGGACACGAACAGGUCCACAUACAAGAACAACAAAGCCAACAUAUUCUUCUAAAGGUAAAGGUAAAUCUGUUGCCUUAUAAACUAUCGUUUCGCUUUGCGCUCCACUGCUGACAGCUGUAACCCGUCUGCGUUAAACGUUGACUGCUGACAGAGAAAGGGCGUCACCGAUCAAGGAUGGAAUACUAGGGGGCACCUUUUUCGCUGAACAACAAAGGACACCUCUUUAUAGACGCACCGUCGUCUUUUAUAAGUCUUAAUAACAAGGAUUUUCGCUCUCGUCGUAGUCAGGAUGAUCGGAUCGUUAUCGCCAGAGAUUUGUACCCCGUCUCUGAGGUGAUUGCCGCUGUGGCCCCACGCAACCCACGAGGGUCCGAGGGCCGGAUCCAUCGGUGUGAGGUUUGCCAUAAAGGCUUCAGCAUGAAGCAUCAUCUCACAGAGCACAUGCGAACGCAUACCGGUGAAAAGCCCUUCCGCUGUGACAUCUGCCACAAGGCAUUUGCUCAGGCGGGAACGAGGAAUUUUCAUAGGAAAAAUGCCCACUCACUUAAAAAAAGCGCCUUACCUCCUGAUUUCGCGCUCAGACUUGCUGAAGGGUCGUGAAUAUGUAAACGGUCAACACACUCCAAAUAGCCAGCUAGCCUGUGUAGUCAAUACAGAAACAGCUUUCUCAACAGCACAGGACCUUUAGUUGUAAAUUGCUGCGUUGAAAAAUCAUUGUCCUGUGUUAUUUCUGUCUAGUGUGGAAAAUCAAGACGUGUCUAGAAGGCCAAAUAUGAUACUCAAGUGACGAAAUCCAUCGGAUCCUUAGGAUAUCGAUUAGUCUUGGAAUAACGAUAGCGCGAUACAUUUUUAGGAGGAGGGAUUUAACCUCAAGUCAUAAUCAGUAAAUCAAAUGGUUUGCGGACGAAAAAUCUUCUUAUAGGGCUUCGGCUUAGGACGAGGAAAACAAUGAAUCGAUCAACUUUAAUGCAAAACAAGAAGGUAUUUUCGUCAAUGAAGUCAGUUACGUGGAUAUUUCAGUAGUGGGUAAUCCGAGUACGAAUGAACAUGCUUUUACGGUUAAUUUAAUCUGAGAUAUCUGACUGGCGACAAACUAUCUAGACAAAAACGCUACAUAGAUAUAUCUGUAUCGUUGUAGACUGAUAUUUAUUAAAAAAAAUUAAUGUAACUUAAGCUUAAUUUGAUUCGGCGUUAUUAUAGGCACUACAUGCGACUCGACACUUUAUACUGCGCUGGCUAUUUUUACUUUAAUAAUUAUUG